Drosophila subobscura is the source of this 171-nucleotide long non-coding RNA. RefSeq lists it as uncharacterized. The transcript has 2 exons. The record is from RefSeq and is a predicted model, not a curated record. NCBI's taxonomy places the organism in Eukaryota, Metazoa, Arthropoda, Insecta, Diptera, Drosophilidae.
CCCCACAAUUUUCACCAGAUUUUUGGUUACAAUUUAAAAAGCCAGAAAGUGUGGGAAAGCGUAAAAUAAAAUUUAAGCUGAUUAUUUCGUGGUCGCAAUUAGAUUGUUACUCUGUGGUCAUGGCCCAUGGGUGGCAAAAUCUCUCAAUCGGAAUUAUUUUACAGCAAACAC